Molecule: ribosomal RNA, 468 nt
Filed under: uncultured bacterium
Lineage: Bacteria
Description: partial 16S ribosomal RNA
Rfam family: Bacterial small subunit ribosomal RNA
Source: RNAcentral
GACGAACGCUGGCGGCGUGCUUAACACAUGCAAGUCGAACGGAAAGGCCCUGCUUUUGUGGGGUGCUCGAGUGGCGAACGGGUGAGUAACACGUGAGUAACCUGCCCUUGACUUUGGGAUAACUUCAGGAAACUGGGGCUAAUACCGGAUAGGAGCUCCUGCUGCAUGGUGGGGGUGGGAAAGUUUCGGCGGGUGGGGAUGGACUCGCGGCUUAUCAGCUUGUUGGUGGGGUAGUGGCUUACCAAGGCUUUGACGGGUAGCCGGCCUGAGAGGGUGACCGGCCACAUUGGGACUGAGAUACGGCCCAGACUCCUACGGGAGGCAGCAGUGGGGAAUAUUGCACAGUGGGCGGAAGCCUGAUGCAGCAACGCCGCGUGCGGGAUGACGGCCUUCGGGUUGUAAACCGCUUUCGCCUGUGACGAAGCGUGAGUGACGGUAAUGAGUAAAGAAGCACCGGCUAACUACGUG